UACGUAGGGGGCAAGCGUUGUCCGGAAUCAUUGGGCGUAAAGAGCGUGUAGGCGGUUCGGUAAGUCGGCUGUGAAAGUCCAGGGCUCAACCCUGGGAUGCCGGUCGAUACUGCCGGACUAGAGUUCGGAAGAGGCGAGUGGAAUUCCCGGUGUAGCGGUGAAAUGCGCAGAUAUCGGGAGGAACACCUAUGGCGAAGGCAGCUCGCUGGGACGUUACUGACGCUGAGACGCGAAAGCAUGGGGAGCGAACAGG
RNAcentral lists this ribosomal RNA (253 nucleotides) under uncultured bacterium. RNAcentral describes it as "partial 16S ribosomal RNA". It matches the Rfam family "Bacterial small subunit ribosomal RNA", at positions 524 to 776 of the family's 1533-position model. The record is from RNAcentral.